Molecule: ribosomal RNA, 1554 nt
Filed under: Staphylococcus aureus
Lineage: Bacteria; Bacillati; Bacillota; Bacilli; Caryophanales; Staphylococcaceae
Description: 16S ribosomal RNA
Rfam family: Bacterial small subunit ribosomal RNA
Source: RNAcentral
UUUAUGGAGAGUUUGAUCCUGGCUCAGGAUGAACGCUGGCGGCGUGCCUAAUACAUGCAAGUCGAGCGAACGGACGAGAAGCUUGCUUCUCUGAUGUUAGCGGCGGACGGGUGAGUAACACGUGGAUAACCUACCUAUAAGACUGGGAUAACUUCGGGAAACCGGAGCUAAUACCGGAUAAUAUUUUGAACCGCAUGGUUCAAAAGUGAAAGACGGUCUUGCUGUCACUUAUAGAUGGAUCCGCGCUGCAUUAGCUAGUUGGUAAGGUAACGGCUUACCAAGGCAACGAUGCAUAGCCGACCUGAGAGGGUGAUCGGCCACACUGGAACUGAGACACGGUCCAGACUCCUACGGGAGGCAGCAGUAGGGAAUCUUCCGCAAUGGGCGAAAGCCUGACGGAGCAACGCCGCGUGAGUGAUGAAGGUCUUCGGAUCGUAAAACUCUGUUAUUAGGGAAGAACAUAUGUGUAAGUAACUGUGCACAUCUUGACGGUACCUAAUCAGAAAGCCACGGCUAACUACGUGCCAGCAGCCGCGGUAAUACGUAGGUGGCAAGCGUUAUCCGGAAUUAUUGGGCGUAAAGCGCGCGUAGGCGGUUUUUUAAGUCUGAUGUGAAAGCCCACGGCUCAACCGUGGAGGGUCAUUGGAAACUGGAAAACUUGAGUGCAGAAGAGGAAAGUGGAAUUCCAUGUGUAGCGGUGAAAUGCGCAGAGAUAUGGAGGAACACCAGUGGCGAAGGCGACUUUCUGGUCUGUAACUGACGCUGAUGUGCGAAAGCGUGGGGAUCAAACAGGAUUAGAUACCCUGGUAGUCCACGCCGUAAACGAUGAGUGCUAAGUGUUAGGGGGUUUCCGCCCCUUAGUGCUGCAGCUAACGCAUUAAGCACUCCGCCUGGGGAGUACGACCGCAAGGUUGAAACUCAAAGGAAUUGACGGGGACCCGCACAAGCGGUGGAGCAUGUGGUUUAAUUCGAAGCAACGCGAAGAACCUUACCAAAUCUUGACAUCCUUUGACAACUCUAGAGAUAGAGCCUUCCCCUUCGGGGGACAAAGUGACAGGUGGUGCAUGGUUGUCGUCAGCUCGUGUCGUGAGAUGUUGGGUUAAGUCCCGCAACGAGCGCAACCCUUAAGCUUAGUUGCCAUCAUUAAGUUGGGCACUCUAAGUUGACUGCCGGUGACAAACCGGAGGAAGGUGGGGAUGACGUCAAAUCCCANNNNGCNCCUUAUGAUUUGGGCUACACACGUGCUACAAUGGACAAUACAAAGGGCAGCGAAACCGCGAGGUCAAGCAAAUCCCAUAAAGUUGUUCUCAGUUCGGAUUGUAGUCUGCAACUCGACUACAUGAAGCUGGAAUCGCUAGUAAUCGUAGAUCAGCAUGCUACGGUGAAUACGUUCCCGGGUCUUGUACACACCGCCCGUCACACCACGAGAGUUUGUAACACCCGAAGCCGGUGGAGUAACCUUUUAGGAGCUAGCCGUCGAAGGUGGGACAAAUGAUUGGGGUGAAGUCGUAACAAGGUAGCCGUAUCGGAAGGUGCGGCUGGAUCACCUCCUUU